UAGGGAAUCUUCGGCAAUGGGGGCAACCCUGACCGAGCAACGCCGCGUGAGUGAAGAAGGUUUUCGGAUCGUAAAGCUCUGUUGUAAGAGAAGAACGAGUGUGAGAGUGGAAAGUUCACACUGUGACGGUAACUUACCAGAAAGGGACGGCUAACUACGUGCCAGCAGCCGCGGUAAUACGUAGGUCCCGAGCGUUAUCUGGAUUUAUUGGGCGUAAAGCGAGCGCAGGCGGUUAGAUAAGUCUGAAGUUAAAGGCUGUGGCUUAACCAUAGUACGCUUUGGAAACUGUUUAACUUGAGUGCAGAAGGGGAGAGUGGAAUUCCAUGUGUAGCGGUGAAAUGCGUAGAUAUAUGGAGGAACACCGGUGGCGAAAGCGGCUCUCUGGUCUGUAACUGACGCUGAGGCUCGAAAGCGUGGGGAGCAAACAGGAUUAGAUACCCUGGUAGUCCACGCCGUAACGAUGAGUGCUAGGUGUUGGGUCCUUUCCGGGACUCAGUGCCGCAGCUAACGCAUUAAGCACUCCGCCUGGGGAGUACGACCGCAAGGUU
This 548-nucleotide ribosomal RNA is filed under the name uncultured bacterium. RNAcentral's name for it is "bacterial SSU rRNA". It matches the Rfam family "Bacterial small subunit ribosomal RNA", at positions 355 to 895 of the family's 1533-position model. The record is from RNAcentral.